AGAUUGAACGCUGGCGGCAUGCCUAACACAUGCAAGUCGAACGGGAGUAGCAAUACUCUAGUGGCGGACGGGUGAGGAAUACGUAGGAAUUUGCCCUUAAGUGGGGGACAACCCGGGGAAACCCGGAUUAAUACCGCAUGACCUCGAAAGAGCAAAGUGGGGGAUCGCAAGACCUCACGCUUUUGGAGAAGCCUACGUCGGAUUAGCUAGUUGGUGAGGUAAUGGCUCACCAAGGCGACGAUCCGUAACUGGUCUGAGAGGAUGAUCAGUCACACCGGAACUGAGACACGGUCCGGACUCCUACGGGAGGCAGCAGUGGGGAAUAUUGGACAAUGGGCGCAAGCCUGAUCCAGCAAUGCCGCGUGUGUGAAGAAGGCCUU
RNAcentral lists this ribosomal RNA (380 nucleotides) under uncultured soil bacterium. Its description in RNAcentral is "bacterial SSU rRNA". It matches the Rfam family "Bacterial small subunit ribosomal RNA", at positions 26 to 418 of the family's 1533-position model. The record is from RNAcentral.